GGUUAGUAGGUUGGUCAUGCCUCUGGUAUGUACUGGUCUCACUGAUUCCUCCUUCCUGAUGAACCGUAAUGCCAUUAAUUUGGUGUUGCGGGGAAUUUGGACUGUUACUUUGAAAAUUAAGAGUGUUUAAAGCAAGCUAACGCUUGAAUACAUUAGCAUGGAAUAAUGAAAUAGGACGUUUGAUUCUAUUUUGUUGGUUUCUAGGAUCGACGUAAUGAUUAAUAGGGAUAGUUGGG
This 236-nucleotide ribosomal RNA is filed under the name uncultured Rhizophagus. RNAcentral's name for it is "partial 18S ribosomal RNA". The stretch from base 37 to 236 matches the Rfam family "Eukaryotic small subunit ribosomal RNA", at positions 684 to 886 of the family's 1831-position model. Lineage: Eukaryota; Fungi; Glomeromycota; Glomeromycetes; Glomerales; Glomeraceae. The record is from RNAcentral.